AAAUUUACCUGGCAGGGAAGGAGAUACCAUGAUCAUGAGGGUGGUUUUCCCAGGGCCCAGUUCAUCCAUUGCACUGCAGAUGUGCCGACCACUAUGAUUUAUCCAAAUGCAGGAAACUCAACUGUGUAAUUUGUGGUAGUGGGGAAUUGCAUUCGCACUUUCCCC
This 165-nucleotide small nuclear RNA is filed under the name Pelodiscus sinensis (Chinese soft-shelled turtle). RNAcentral's name for it is "U1 spliceosomal RNA (ENSPSIG00000020153.1)". It matches the Rfam family "U1 spliceosomal RNA". From Rfam's summary of the family: U1 is a small nuclear RNA (snRNA) component of the spliceosome (involved in pre-mRNA splicing). Its 5' end forms complementary base pairs with the 5' splice junction, thus defining the 5' donor site of an intron. There are significant differences in sequence and secondary structure between metazoan and yeast U1 snRNAs, the latter being much longer (568 nucleotides as compared to 164 nucleotides in human). The record is from RNAcentral. Lineage: Eukaryota; Metazoa; Chordata; Testudines; Trionychidae.